UAAAGCGUGCGCAGGCGGUUUUGUAAGACUGUCGUGAAAUCCCCGGGCUCAACCUGGGAAUGGCGAUGGUGACUGCAAGGCUAGAGUUUGGCAGAGGGGGGUAGAAUUCCACGUGUAGCAGUGAAAUGCGUAGAUAUGUGGAGGAACACCGAUGGCGAAGGCAGCCCCCUGGGUCAAAACUGACGCUCAUGCACGAAAGCGUGGGGAGCAAACAGGAUUAAUACCCUAGU
RNAcentral lists this ribosomal RNA (230 nucleotides) under uncultured bacterium. RNAcentral's name for it is "partial 16S ribosomal RNA". It matches the Rfam family "Bacterial small subunit ribosomal RNA", at positions 561 to 791 of the family's 1533-position model. The record is from RNAcentral.